Molecule: ribosomal RNA, 600 nt
Filed under: uncultured bacterium
Lineage: Bacteria
Description: bacterial SSU rRNA
Rfam family: Bacterial small subunit ribosomal RNA
Source: RNAcentral
GUGGCGAGUGGCGGACGGGUGAGUAAUGCAUCGGACGUAUCCUGGAGUGGGGGAUAACGUAGCGAAAGUUACGCUAAUACCGCAUAUUCUGUGAGCAGGAAAGCAGGGGCUCGCAAGACCUUGCGCUCUGGGGGCGGCCGAUGUCGGAUUAGCUGGUUGGUGGGGUAAAGGCCUACCAAGGCGACGAUCCGUACGGGUCUGAGAGGAUGAUCCGCCACACUGGGACUGAGACACGGCCCAGACUCCUACGGGAGGCAGCAGUGGGGAAUUUUGGACAAUGGGCGCAAGCCUGAUCCAGCCAUGCCGCGUGAGUGAAGAAGGCCUUCGGGUUGUAAAGCUCUUUCGGCCGGGAAGAAAUCGCAUGGGCGAAUACCCUGUGUGGAUGACGGUACCGGAACAAGAAGCACCGGCUAACUACGUGCCAGCAGCCGCGGUAAUACGUAGGGUGCGAGCGUUAAUCGGAAUUACUGGGCGUAAAGCGUGCGCAGGCGGUUGGGUAAGUCAGAUGUGAAAUCCCCGGGGCUCACCUUGGGACUGCUUUGGAGACUGCCAGUUGGAUUUGGGCAAGGGGGGUGGAAUUCCCACGUUUACCAUUGAAAU